Triticum aestivum (bread wheat) is the source of this 135-nucleotide non-coding RNA. The record is from Rfam. Lineage: Eukaryota; Viridiplantae; Streptophyta; Magnoliopsida; Poales; Poaceae.
UAAUUACUCACUCCGUCCGGAAAUACUUGUCAUCAAAAUGAAUAAAAAGGGAUGUAUCUAGAUGUAUUUUAGUUCUAGAUACAUCUUUUUUUGUCCAUUUUGAUGACAAGUAUUUUCGGACGGAGGGAGUACUAA